Molecule: long non-coding RNA, 610 nt
Filed under: Triticum aestivum (bread wheat)
Lineage: Eukaryota; Viridiplantae; Streptophyta; Magnoliopsida; Poales; Poaceae
Description: long non-coding RNA (TAES_LNC013644)
Source: RNAcentral
AGUACUAUAUUAUACCAGUACGGAGCUGAACAAACAAAAAGUGAUUAGAACUAGUCAAGUCUGAAUAUUACACAACCCUGAACAUUACACAAUUUUGAACAUUACACUACUCAAGGUUAUAGAAAUUUGAGAGAGAGAGAGAGAGAGAGAGAGAACAACAAUAGGUUUUGGGAAAGGGGGAGGAGGAGCAACAGGUUUUUGGAAGAUGAGGAGCAGCAGGGGCGUUUGAGAGAAGAUGCAGCAAGAGAGAGGAGCAGCGGCAGUUCUGCAGAGAGGUUGAGGGAAGGAGCAGCAACAGUUGCGGUUUAGAGCAGCAGCAGCAUGGAGGGUUGAGAGAAAAGCUUCAGCCGAGGCCAACCAGGGUCAUGAGAGGAGAAACAGAGGAGGAGCAGCAGCGAGAUGGGCGAAGGGAGCAGCAGGAAGGCGAUGGGGAAGAAGAGAAGGGCAGUAGGGAAGAGGAGCAGCAGAAGGCAGGGUCGCGCGGGGCACCAGACACCUUGUCUGGUCGGUCGCGCCAUGGAUGGUGGUGAAGGGGUGGCGCUGAUGGAUGGUGCAGCGGCGCGAGGUGGUGAUGCAGUGGAUGGAUGGUGGUGUAUGGAGGUGCUGGUGG